Nerophis ophidion (straightnose pipefish) is the source of this 115-nucleotide small nuclear RNA. RefSeq annotates it as U5 spliceosomal RNA. Lineage: Eukaryota; Metazoa; Chordata; Actinopteri; Syngnathiformes; Syngnathidae. The record is from RefSeq and is a predicted model, not a curated record. The transcript has a single exon.
UCACUCUUGUUUCUUUUCAGAUCGCAUAAAUCUUUUCCCUUUUACUAAACAUUUCCGUGGGGAGGAACAACAAGAGUAUUACUCCAUUUUUUAAAAGCCCUGCGAAAGCGAGGCU